Molecule: ribosomal RNA, 518 nt
Filed under: uncultured Actinomycetes bacterium
Lineage: Bacteria; Bacillati; Actinomycetota; Actinomycetes
Description: bacterial SSU rRNA
Rfam family: Bacterial small subunit ribosomal RNA
Source: RNAcentral
CAGGGAAUUUUGCACAAUGGACGAAAGUCUGAUGCAGCGACGCCGCGUGGGGGAUGAAUGCCUUCGGGUUGUAAACCCCUUUCAGGAGGGACGAAGCGAAAGUGACGGUACCUCCAGAAGAAGCCCCGGCCAACUACGUGCCAGCAGCCGCGGUAAUACGUAGGGGGCGAACGUUGUCCGGAUUUAUUGGGCGUAAAGAGCUCGUAGGCGGCUCAGCAAGUCGGCCGUGAAAACCCGGGGCUCAACCCCGGGACGCCGGUCGAAACUGCUGUGGCUAGGGUUCGUAGAGGAGAGUGGAAUUCCCGGUGUAGCGGUGAAAUGCGCAGAUAUCGGGAGGAACACCAGUAGCGAAGGCGGCUCUCUGGGCCGAUACCGACGCUGAGGAGCGAAAGCUAGGGGGAGCAAACAGGAUUAGAUACCCUGGUAGUCCUAGCCGUAAACGUUGGGCACUAGGUGUGGCGGACUCAUUGACGUCUGCCGUGCCGCAGCUAACGCAUUAAGUGCCCCGCUGGGGAUAC